Phrynosoma platyrhinos (Desert horned lizard) is the source of this 71-nucleotide non-coding RNA. Lineage: Eukaryota; Metazoa; Chordata; Lepidosauria; Squamata; Phrynosomatidae. The record is from the annotation of a GenBank genome assembly.
GCCAACAUGGCAUAGUGGUUUGAGUACUGGACUACAAUUUUGGAUACCAGGGUUUGAAUCCCAGCUUGGCC